AGUGAACGCUGGCGGUAGGCCUAACACAUGCAAGUCGAACGGCAGCACAGUAAGAGCUUGCUCUUACGGGUGGCGAGUGGCGGACAGGUGAGGAAUACAUCGGAAUCUACUUUUUCGUGGGGGAUAACGUAGGGAAACUUACGCUAAUACCGCAUACGACCUACGGGUGAAAGCAGGGGAUCUUCGGACCUUGCGCGAUUGAAUGAGCCGAUGUCGGAUUAGCUAGUUGGCGGGGUAAAGGCCCACCAAGGCGACGAUCCGUAGCUGGUCUGAGAGGAUGAUCAGCCACACUGGAACUGAGACACGGUCCAGACUCCUACGGGAGGCAGCAGUGGGGAAUAUUGGACAAUGGGCGCAAGCCUGAGCCAGCCAUACCGCGUGGGUGAAGAAGGCCUUCGGGUUGUAAAGCCCUUUUGUUGGGAAAGAAAAGCAGCAGGUUAAUACCCCGCUGUUCUGACGGUACCCAAAGAAUAAGCACCGGCUAACUUCGG
RNAcentral lists this ribosomal RNA (491 nucleotides) under uncultured bacterium. RNAcentral's name for it is "partial 16S ribosomal RNA". It matches the Rfam family "Bacterial small subunit ribosomal RNA", at positions 29 to 506 of the family's 1533-position model. The record is from RNAcentral.